This 335-nucleotide ribosomal RNA is filed under the name uncultured bacterium. RNAcentral's name for it is "bacterial SSU rRNA". It matches the Rfam family "Bacterial small subunit ribosomal RNA", at positions 196 to 507 of the family's 1533-position model. The record is from RNAcentral.
GUGGCGAACGGGUGGCCUCGUACUUGUAAGCUAUCGCCUGAAGAGGGGUUUGCGUCUGAUUAGGUAGUUGGGUGAGGUAACGGCCCACCAAGCCGACGAUCAGUAGCCGGUCUGAGAGGAUGAACGGCCACAUUGGAACUGAGACACGGUCCAGACUCCUACGGGAGGCAGCAGUGGGGAAUCUUCCGCAAUGGGCGAAAGCCUGACGGAGCAACGCCGCGUGAGUGAAGAAGGUCUUCGGAUCGUAAAGCUCUGUUGUCGGGGACGAAUGUUGAGACCUAGAACAUAGGUUUCAAAUGACGGUACCUGACGAGGAAGCCACGGCUAACUACGUG